Long non-coding RNA from Salvia miltiorrhiza (redroot sage), 664 nucleotides. RefSeq lists it as uncharacterized. The transcript has 3 exons. The record is from RefSeq and is a predicted model, not a curated record. NCBI's taxonomy places the organism in Eukaryota, Viridiplantae, Streptophyta, Magnoliopsida, Lamiales, Lamiaceae.
GUAGAGAUUAGAGAGAGAGAGAUCAAGGCAUUAAUUGCCAAAUAUUUCAUAAGAUCCUCAAAUCCUCUUUAAAGAUUCACAAAUCUUUUAUAAGAUUACCAAGAUCAUCUCAUAUCUUGCAAAUUCCUCUCUCUCCUUCUCCCCUAACUUUCGACCACCACCUCUCUCCCAUUCAUCUCUCUACUUUCCACCAUUUUCCUCCAUUGAUGCACCUUCGGAGCUUCACAAAUUCAUACCAAAACUCAAAUCACCCUCUAAAUCCACCUUAAACACCUUCCAUCUCCUUAGAUUCAAGAAGAUCCAUGGAGAUUCAAUCUUGAAGUUAGUAAGAGAAAAUUUGAUAUUUGGUGUAAACUUGGACACGAGCAGAGCAGGGAAGUAAGUAACUCCGCUUUGACGGGAGUUUUUGAGUAAGGUCUUCAGGCUAAGCGAGGAGCGAGAUUGGUCUGGUGCUGGCGGGGAAUUGUUAGGGGAUGUAUUUACUAUAUCGUAUUUCCAUUUUGACGAUAAAGUCUUGAUAAUUGAUAUACUUGGAUUUUCUUUUGAAGUUAAGCAAUGUACUCACGGUUAUAUGUCUUCAUACAUAUAAUCGAUUCGCCUUUUGCUGCGCUACUCUGCAUAUUAUGAUUCCUUACGAAAAAUGAGCGAUACCCGUUUUGUUUUU